This is a long non-coding RNA of Gasterosteus aculeatus aculeatus (three-spined stickleback), 1676 nucleotides long. The record is from Ensembl. Lineage: Eukaryota; Metazoa; Chordata; Actinopteri; Perciformes; Gasterosteidae.
GUUUACACACCUCCUGGAUCCUGAUUGGUGUCGCUGCUGCAGCCGCAAGGCACUGAUUGGAUGCUCACAGACCGUAAUACAGCGCAGAUGAAAAUGAUUCAGACUACAGCGUUUAUAUGUUAAACAAUAGGAAACGUAGUCUUAGCUGUUUUAAAAUUACACCAAGUUUAUUUCGGAUUAUUCCAACUGAAGAAUACAAGCCGCAGGGAACUUUGAGGUGCGUAAACGCUAUUUAUAGGUGCGUAAACGCUAUUUCCAAAAUUCCAGAGGUGCGUAAACGGCGUUUACGUGCGUUUACCCUCCACCACAGCCCUGUUGGCUGAUAAGGCCAUGUUGAAAACCAGUGAGGUUAGGGGUUAGGGUUAGGGUUACAAAUGCAGUGCGAUCUAAAAACAAAUACAUACACAUCCACAAACAAAUAUGAAUAUACAUUGUAGCGCAGGGAUCCGUUUCAAGUAGGAGGUUUAACAAACUCUGAGUCAAACCCUAAACUCUGAGUUGAUUUACCCUGAGAUGUGAAACUCUGAGUUUUGGGUUUCUGAACAGCUGUUCAGAGUUGGUUUAAUCAACUCGGAGUAGGUUGACUCAGAGUUGAGCGCGUGCACCACCACAGUAUGAAGGCAGCGUGAAUGGAGCCACGAUACUACGAUUCACCAUGGCAACCACCACAAACAAUCGGUCGGGUACUUGAGCUGGAUGUAUUAAUGCAAGCGUACGCGAGUAUAAACCCGUAAUUAGAAAAAAAGUGACUGCAGCAAAAGACAGAGAAACGGCGUCGGAGAAAAUCCAGAGCGACGCACACGUUUCUCACGGCUCUGCAUACAGCAGCUUUACUGAUAUUAUAAUGUUGUAAAGGAAACUGACGUUUGCAAAAAAAGUAAUACUACACAAAAAAUGUGCUCGUAUGUGAGAGCCUGUCCACGAUGAGGGGCGUUACUUAUAUGAGGACAGGUGAGGUUGUACACAUUUGAUGGACUGACUAAUAAAAACGAUACCAUUCAAACAAGCAGUCACCUGGAAAUAACAAUAUAUCUAAUCGGGCCUCAAUAAUCUCUCCCGAUGUGUUUAACACCCUGCGAAGUAAAACCGCUUCUUCAUCAACAGGAUCGUCCUUUUCUGGACGUGCCAUGUUCAAGAAAACAAUUCAGUCUUUAACGUAACAGAUCUUAUUUUGUUCAUAUGUCUAAAUUGCACUAAAAAUCCGCCUGAUACAGAGUCAUUGAAUGAAUGAGGAAAUGAAAGUGUGCUGUGUGAUUGGCUGGGCUGCUGUCAGAGGGAGGAGACUGCGAAAGAAACUCAAGGUUUAUUGAAGAAAACCUGCUCCCGACCAGGUGAUGUUCACAGGCUCAGUUACCAUGGUGACUGACCCUGAGCUUUAGUUACCAUGGUGACUGAGCCUGAGCUUUUAGUUACCUCCCUUUGUGAAACAGACAAGCCAGAGUUUCCCUCAUCUCAGGGUUAACAAACUCUGAGUUUCCACUAAACCCGCUUCUUGAAACAGACCCCAGCUCUCUAGUAGGACAAUAUGGUAUUAUGAGCUCUUCAAGAAGGUGCCUCACCAGCAAACAGGGCUGUAGUGGAGGGUAAACGGACGUAAACGCCGUUUACGCACCUCUGGAAUUUUGGAAAUAGCGUUUACGCACCUCUAAAUAGCAUUUACGCACCUCAAAGUUCCC